Molecule: ribosomal RNA, 253 nt
Filed under: uncultured bacterium
Lineage: Bacteria
Description: partial 16S ribosomal RNA
Rfam family: Bacterial small subunit ribosomal RNA
Source: RNAcentral
UACGAAGGGGGCUAGCGUUGCUCGGAAUCACUGGGCGUAAAGGGUGCGUAGGCGGGUCUUUAAGUCAGGGGUGAAAUCCUGGAGCUCAACUCCAGAACUGCCUUUGAUACUGAGGAUCUUGAGUUCGGGAGAGGUGAGUGGAACUGCGAGUGUAGAGGUGAAAUUCGUAGAUAUUCGCAAGAACACUAGUGGCGAAGGCGGCUCACUGGCCCGAUACUGACGCUGAGGUGCGAAAGCGUGGGGAGCAAACAGG